This 1243-nucleotide ribosomal RNA is filed under the name Staphylococcaceae bacterium 6_Am_7. RNAcentral describes it as "bacterial SSU rRNA". It matches the Rfam family "Bacterial small subunit ribosomal RNA", at positions 122 to 1352 of the family's 1533-position model. Lineage: Bacteria; Bacillati; Bacillota; Bacilli; Caryophanales; Staphylococcaceae. The record is from RNAcentral.
UAACCUACCUAUAAGACUGGAAUAACUCCGGGAAACCGGGGCUAAUGCCGGAUAAUAUUUAGAACCGCAUGGUUCUAAAGUGAAAGAUGGUUUUACUAUCACUUAUAGAUGGACCCGCGCCGUAUUAGCUAGUUGGUGGGGUAAUGGCUUACCAAGGCAACGAUACGUAGCCGACCUGAGAGGGUGAUCGGCCACACUGGAACUGAGACACGGUCCAGACUCCUACGGGAGGCAGCAGUAGGGAAUCUUCCGCAAUGGGCGAAAGCCUGACGGAGCAACGCCGCGUGAGUGAUGAAGGUCUUCGGAUCGUAAAACUCUGUUAUUAGGGAAGAACAAAUGUGUAAGUAACUGUGCACGUCUUGACGGUACCUAAUCAGAAAGCCACGGCUAACUACGUGCCAGCAGCCGCGGUAAUACGUAGGUGGCAAGCGUUAUCCGGAAUUAUUGGGCGUAAAGCGCGCGUAGGCGGUUUCUUAAGUCUGAUGUGAAAGCCCACGGCUCAACCGUGGAGGGUCAUUGGAAACUGGGAAACUUGAGUGCAGAAGAGGAAAGUGGAAUUCCAUGUGUAGCGGUGAAAUGCGCAGAGAUAUGGAGGAACACCAGUGGCGAAGGCGACUUUCUGGUCUGUAACUGACGCUGAUGUGCGAAAGCGUGGGGAUCAAACAGGAUUAGAUACCCUGGUAGUCCACGCCGUAAACGAUGAGUGCUAAGUGUUAGGGGGUUUCCGCCCCUUAGUGCUGCAGCUAACGCAUUAAGCACUCCGCCUGGGGAGUACGACCGCAAGGUUGAAACUCAAAGGAAUUGACGGGGACCCGCACAGCGGUGGAGCAUGUGGUUUAAUUCGAAGCAACGCGAAGAACCUUACCAAAUCUUGACAUCCUUUGACAACUCUAGAGAUAGAGUCUUCCCCUUCGGGGGACAAAGUGACAGGUGGUGCAUGGUUGUCGUCAGCUCGUGUCGUGAGAUGUUGGGUUAAGUCCCGCAACGAGCGCAACCCUUAAGCUUAGUUGCCAGCAUUAAGUUGGGCACUCUAAGUUGACUGCCGGUGACAAACCGGAGGAAGGGGGGGAUGACGUCAAAUCAUCAUGCCCCUUAUGAUUUGGGCUACACACGUGCUACAAUGGACAAUACAAAGGGCAGCUAAACCGCGAGGUCAUGCAAAUCCCAUAAAGUUGUUCUCAGUUCGGAUUGUAGUCUGCAACUCGACUACAUGAAGCUGGAAUCGCUAGUAAUCGUAGAUCAG